This is a non-coding RNA of Solanum lycopersicum (tomato), 2040 nucleotides long. Lineage: Eukaryota; Viridiplantae; Streptophyta; Magnoliopsida; Solanales; Solanaceae. The record is from RefSeq and is a predicted model, not a curated record.
ACGCUUCCACCGCAAUAUCGUAGACUUCACUUCUGGCUAUCAUUCCUUAUUAUUUGGGUACCCUGAAUUUAAUAGAUAUAGCAAAAUGAAUAUCGGUAAAUUCCAUUUUAUUCAUUCACUAUUUUUCUCAUACUUCCAAAUAGUUCUUUAAUGGAUUUGUGGCUAAAGGCACGGAGCUUCGCGGAGGAAGCUGCUAAGCGAUCACAGGAGUUCACCGUAGAAGCUGCUAAGCGUACACAGGAGCUCAGUAUUGGCUCCGCUAAGUUGUCCGACAUCGUUUCAGAGGCUUCCAAGCGUUCAAAGGAGAUUGCCGCCCAAGCUUCUAAGCGUUCUAAGGAGAUCGUUGCCGAAGCUUCUAAACGCGCCGAUCAGAUCAAGUUUCAAAUUCCCGCUGCCGCUGCACUCUCUAGCCUUGUCGAUUCCUCAACUUCUCCUCAAACUGCUUCGGCUAUUACUACGCCGGCUGAUCUUGAAAAGUUUGGAGUCACUGACGACUUGAGAGAGUUCGUUAAGGGCAUCACUAGGGAUACAUUCCAGAAUGUUCAACUUCAAGAUGAGUCAGAGAUGUCUGAUAUUCCUACAGUCGCAAACAUUAGGCAGGAUCUUACAGAGUUUCAGGAAAAACAUGCGAAACUUGUUCUUUCAUCUGUCAAGGAAAUCUCAAAGUUGAGGUAUGAGAUAUGCCCACGCAUAAUGAGAGAGAAAAAGUUUUGGAGAAUCUACUUCAUUCUAGUUAACAGUCAUUUAGCACCGUAUGAAAAGAAAUACAUGGACGAAAAGAAAAUAAUAUCUGCUGAAAAGGCAAAUGUCGAGGACGCCAAGAAUAUUUCAUCAGAAGGAAAAACUUCUGAACCAGUGACCGGGGCAACAACCCAGGCAAACAAGAAGGCAGCCUCAUCAACUGCUGACCAGGAUUUGGAUGUUUUUCUUCUCGGAGAGGAAAGUGAUGAAGGGCCAGGCUGUCCAUUUGCCCAAUCCUGUCAAGAUCACCAUAAUCAGUAGUCAAAUAGUACAAAGCUAGAGGACAACUAUGUUACGUGCUUAAAUCCAGAUUAUCAUCUAUCCUUGCUGUCAUCUACUUUAUGGUAUUUGUGUAGCAUUUGAGGACAAAUUGUACUAUAGGCAAAGAUGUAUGUACACAUAAGAGAUGUGAAACUCAAAUAAGAUGACCAAAUCAAAACAUCAUUUAUCAUAAAAAGAAGACCAGUCACAAUAUAAGAGAUGGUGCUUUCUUGCAUCCACAAAUUGUCAGUAUAUAUUCUCUUUCAUUCAUCUGGCUUUUGUUCUCCAAGCAGCAUUGAUCUAACUGCUAGAAAGUAGUCAACAGGUCUGCAUAUUACAAGUGAUCACCUGAGAAGUCUUUAUUUAUUCCUCAGAAGCUAAAGAUUUAUGAUCUGAUUACCACCAACAAGAAGUCUCGGUUUAUUGGUCUUGACAAGCUAUAGAUAGGAAAAAGGUGAAACAGCGGCUACUUGCUGCUUCGAGAAGUUGAGGUUGAAAUCGUCAGGAAGUUCACACAUCCAUGCAUGAUAUAAUCCAGCUCAUAUGAAAUAGGCAUAUACUCGCUUACUUGCUACCUUCCUCUGCAUGCAUCUUGUCCAUUCCUUGAACCUUUUUCUUUCUUUUUCAACUUUUAUUCCUUUGCUGGAGCUGCAGAAGAUAAGGUAGGUGACUGAGGAAGUCCGAUGGUACGUAAUGCUGUUCGUUUUGGAGGUGUAAAGUUAGAAUUCUUUUAGUGACCUUAUUAUUCACUUUUUAUUGAGUUGUUGGUUACUUUUUAGUUCUACAUCACCUGCUCUAAGUAUAGUUUUAAAGUUCCGGCUGCAUGUUGGAUUUCAAUGCUGCCUAAUCUUUCCUUUCUCAAGUUGCUGGUAUUACUCUGAAUGUAGUUUUGUUGUCCAGCAGCUGCUUCUUCGACGGUCUUGCUGCCUGAAAAGGGCCAAAUUAUUCAAAGUUAGUUUUGGAUGUCAAAUGUAAACAAAAAUAGAGAGGAUGAGUAAAAAUUGGAAGAGUGAUAUUUAAUGAAAGCAUAUUAUUACC